RNAcentral lists this ribosomal RNA (253 nucleotides) under uncultured bacterium. Its description in RNAcentral is "partial 16S ribosomal RNA". It matches the Rfam family "Bacterial small subunit ribosomal RNA", at positions 524 to 776 of the family's 1533-position model. The record is from RNAcentral.
UACGAAGGGGGCUAGCGUUGUUCGGAAUUACUGGGCGUAAAGCGCGUGUAGGCGGGUCUUUAAGUCAGGGGUGAAAUGCCAAGGCUCAACCUUGGAACUGCCUUUGAUACUGGGGACCUUGAGUCCGGGAGAGGUGAGUGGAAUUGCGAGUGUAGAGGUGAAAUUCGUAGAUAUUCGCAAGAACACCAGUGGCGAAGGCGGCUCACUGGCCCGGAACUGACGCUGAGACGCGAAAGCGUGGGGAGCAAACAGG